RNAcentral lists this ribosomal RNA (449 nucleotides) under uncultured bacterium. RNAcentral's name for it is "partial 16S ribosomal RNA". It matches the Rfam family "Bacterial small subunit ribosomal RNA", at positions 29 to 523 of the family's 1533-position model. The record is from RNAcentral.
AACGAACGCUGGCGGCAUGCCUAACACAUGCAAGUCGAACGAGAUCUUCGGGUCUAGUGGCGCACGGGUGCGUAACGCGUGGGAAUCUGCCCUUUGGUUCGGAAUAACAGUUGGAAACGACUGCUAAUACCGGAUGAUGACGAAAGUCCAAAGAUUUAUCGCCAGAGGAUGAGCCCGCGUAGGAUUAGCUAGUUGGUGUGGUAAAGGCGCACCAAGGCGACGAUCCUUAGCUGGUCUGAGAGGAUGAUCAGCCACACUGGGACUGAGACACGGCCCAGACUCCUACGGGAGGCAGCAGUGGGGAAUAUUGGACAAUGGGCGAAAGCCUGAUCCAGCAAUGCCGCGUGAGUGAUGAAGGCCUUAGGGUUGUAAAGCUCUUUUACCCGGGAUGAUAGUGACAGUACCGGGAGAAUAAGCUCCGGCUAACUCCGCGCCAGCCGCCGCCGUAA